Molecule: ribosomal RNA, 497 nt
Filed under: uncultured bacterium
Lineage: Bacteria
Description: partial 16S ribosomal RNA
Rfam family: Bacterial small subunit ribosomal RNA
Source: RNAcentral
GAUGAACGCUGGCGGCGUGCCUAAUACAUGCAAGUCGAGCGAACGGACGAGAAGCUUGCUUCUCUGAUGUUAGCGGCGGACGGGUGAGUAACACGUGGAUAACCUACCUAUAAGACUGGGAUAACUUCGGGAAACCGGAGCUAAUACCGGAUAAUAUUUUGAACCGCAUGGUUCAAAAGUGAAAGACGGUCUUGCUGUCACUUAUAGAUGGAUCCGCGCUGCAUUAGCUAGUUGGUAAGGUAACGGCUUACCAAGGCAACGAUGCAUAGCCGACCUGAGAGGGGGAUCGGCCACACUGGAACUGAGGCACGGUCCAGACUCCUACGGGAGGCAGCAGUAGGGAAUCUUCCGCAAUGGGCGAAAGCCUGACGGAGCAACGCCGCGUGAGUGAUGAAGGUCUUCGGAUCGUAAAACUCUGUUAUUAGGGAAGAACAUAUGUGUAAGUAACUGUGCACAUAUUGACGGUACCUAAUCAGAAAGCCACGGCUAACUACGUG